UCUCAACUAUCAUGAAAGAUUUGGUCUGUAUGUAAUGUAUUUUAUGACUAAAUGAAGACAAUAGUGGGA
Molecule: small nucleolar RNA, 69 nt
Organism: Manis pentadactyla (Chinese pangolin)
Lineage: Eukaryota; Metazoa; Chordata; Mammalia; Pholidota; Manidae
Product: small nucleolar RNA SNORD127
Exons: 1
Source: RefSeq, a predicted model, not a curated record